AGUGGCGGACGGGUGAGUAACGCGUAAGAAUCUAACUUCAGGACGGGGACAACAGUUGGAAACGACUGCUAAUACCCGAUGUGCCGCGAGGUGAAACCUAAUUGGCCUGAAGAAGAGCUUGCGUCUGAUUAGCUAGUUGGUGGGGUAAAGGCCUACCAAGGCGACGAUCAGUAGCUGGUCUGAGAGGAUGAGCAGCCACACUGGGACUGAGACACGGCCCAGACUCCUACGGGAGGCAGCAGUGGGGAAUUUUCCGCAAUGGGCGAAAGCCUGACGGAGCAACGCCGCGUGAGGGAGGAAGGUCUUUGGAUUGUAAACCUCUUUUCUCAAGGAAGAAGUUCUGACGGUACUUGAGGAAUCAGCCUCGGCUAACUCCGUGCCAGCAGCCGCGGUAAUACGGGGGAGGCAAGCGUUAACCGGAAUUAUUGGGCGUAAAGCGUCCGCAGGUGGUCAGCCAAGUCUGCUGUCAAAUCAGGUUGCUUAACGACCUAAAGGCGGUGGAAACUGGCAGACUAGAGAGCAGUAGGGGUAGCAGGAAUUCCCAGUGUAGCGGUGAAAUGCGUAGAGAUUGGGAAGAACAUCGGUGGCGAAAGCGUGCUACUGGGCUGUAUCUGACACUCAGGGACGAAAGCUAGGGGAGCGAAAGGGAUUAGAUACCCCUGUAGUCCUAGCCGUAAACGAUGGAUACUAGGCGUGGCUU
Molecule: ribosomal RNA, 700 nt
Filed under: uncultured bacterium
Lineage: Bacteria
Description: bacterial SSU rRNA
Rfam family: Bacterial small subunit ribosomal RNA
Source: RNAcentral